GUUGUAGAGUUGAAAAUAUGAAUCGAGGUAGAAGGUAGAACAUUUUCACAAUUAAAGGAAGGGAUUUCAGAGCUGCGGAAAGAAGUCCAUGCAACUAGACUUGCAGGUGAAGUGGCGGUCUCUCACACCGAGGAGGGGUUCCUUAAAAGAAACAUCAGGAUACCUUGAAUCUUCAUGAGGAAAACAAAGAGUAUGAACUGGAGAUUGAGGACUACAGCAAAAAGAUCUAUGAACAGGCAGCGAAGCAGCUUCAGAAGAACAGGAAGCACAUGCAGCAGAAGUUCAGUGUGAACGAGGACCGGAGAGCAGAGGCUAAGGAGGAGCUGUCCCAGAUGGCUACGCUGCACCCCAAUGCCAAGGUCAACUUGGAGGAGCUGGAGCAGAAGACCUUCAUGGUGGAGCAGAGGAUGCGAGUAUGUGUGAGAAGAGCCAUGCACUUAGCUAGACAUCCAUGCACUCUAACCUGUAGUAAAUCCAUCCUAGAUAUAGAGGUGGCAUAUCCUUAUUGACACGUCUAAUGUUUAGAUUCAGCGCUUUGACCAUUAGAUAUUGCCGAUCACAUAAUCUGCACUAGUUGUCAGUGAAAUAAGCACAUACUUUUAGAGAUUCAUCCAUGCAUGGAGACUCACUAACAAGUUGGGUUUGUGAAAGGAAAGGAGCACUUGAAGAUAGACGUUCAGAUAGAUCCAUGUACAAUGAUGGAAUGGGCUUCUUUACUAGUGUUACUGAUGCAACACAUCAGUAUCUCCUCGGAAAGUGACUGAGAAUCCUAAGAAAGACGAGCGAGAUGAAAGCCCUGGCCAUUCUGAAGGAUAAAAGAACAACUAUUGAAGCAGAAUUACACCAGGAGCAAACCAACACAGAAAACGCCAGAUGGGGACUUCAUAAGGAAUUUGAGAAAGUGUGAAGUUUAAGGUAGACUUCACCGUCAAGAUAGAACUGCCAAAGGGGGAGGAGUUGCAGUAUACUGCAGAGAUAGCCUGCAAAGUAAUGUCAUACUUUCCAGGUCCAU
Oncorhynchus tshawytscha (Chinook salmon) is the source of this 1012-nucleotide long non-coding RNA. RefSeq lists it as uncharacterized. The transcript is spliced from 5 exons. NCBI's taxonomy places the organism in Eukaryota, Metazoa, Chordata, Actinopteri, Salmoniformes, Salmonidae. The record is from RefSeq and is a predicted model, not a curated record.